CAGCCGCCACGGGAAUACAGAGGACGCAAGCGUUAUCCGGAAUGAUUGGGCGUGAAGCGUCUGUAGGUGGCUUUUCAAGUCCGCCGUCAAAUCCCAGGGCUCAACCCUGGACAGGCGGUGGAAACUACCAAGCUGGAGUACGGUAGGGGCAGAGGGAAUUUCCGGUGGAGCGGUGAAAUGCGUAGAGAUGUGGAGGAACACCAGUGGCGAAGGCGACUCUCUGGUCUGUAACUGACGCUGAGGAGCGAAAGCGUGGGGAGCGAACAGGAUUAGAUACCCCGGUAGUCCCUGUCUCUUAUAC
Molecule: ribosomal RNA, 301 nt
Filed under: uncultured bacterium
Lineage: Bacteria
Description: partial 16S ribosomal RNA
Rfam family: Bacterial small subunit ribosomal RNA
Source: RNAcentral